CUUCCCUCUGUAAUAGAGUUUGUCUCCUCCCUUGUGGAGGUUCCUCUCCCAUGUAUGUGGGUUUUUCUUCCUAUUUUACCAUCCUUUUACCUUCCUUUGUACCACCACCACCACCAUCAACCACCACAUUUUCUGAUCAACCACCACCUUCAACCUCCACGUUUUCUGUUCAACCACCACCAUCAACCACCAUCACGUUUUCUGUUCAAUCCUCCAGCAACCGUCAAGCUAUGGUGCUCUCAAAUCUGAACCAAACUUCAACAAACUGUUUACGAAUUUGUGGCCAUGUAGAACGGCCUCCACCGGAGCCACCACCAUCGGAAAAAAUG
This 329-nucleotide long non-coding RNA is filed under the name Trifolium pratense (red clover). RNAcentral describes it as "long non-coding RNA (TPRA_LNC001865)". The record is from RNAcentral. Lineage: Eukaryota; Viridiplantae; Streptophyta; Magnoliopsida; Fabales; Fabaceae.